Molecule: ribosomal RNA, 304 nt
Filed under: uncultured bacterium
Lineage: Bacteria
Description: partial 16S ribosomal RNA
Rfam family: Bacterial small subunit ribosomal RNA
Source: RNAcentral
CAGCAGCAGCCACGGUAAUACGGAGGGUGCAAGCGUUAAUCGGAAUUACUGGGCGUAAAGCGCACGCAGGCGGUCUGACAAGUCAGAUGUGAAAUCCCCGGGCUUAACCUGGGAACUGCAUUUGAAACUGUCAGGCUGGAGUCUUGUAGAGGGGGGUAGAAUUCCAGGUGUAGCGGUGAAAUGCGUAGAGAUCUGGAGGAAUACCGGUGGCGAAGGCGGCCCCCUGGACAAAGACUGACGCUCAGGUGCGAAAGCGUGGGGAGCAAACAGGAUUAGAUACCCCUGUAGUCCCUGUCUCUUAUAC